RNAcentral lists this ribosomal RNA (1155 nucleotides) under Gordonia jinhuaensis. RNAcentral describes it as "bacterial SSU rRNA". It matches the Rfam family "Bacterial small subunit ribosomal RNA", at positions 340 to 1504 of the family's 1533-position model. Lineage: Bacteria; Bacillati; Actinomycetota; Actinomycetes; Mycobacteriales; Gordoniaceae. The record is from RNAcentral.
UACGGGAGGCAGCAGUGGGGAAUAUUGCACAAUGGGCGCAAGCCUGAUGCAGCGACGCCGCGUGAGGGAUGACGGCCUUCGGGUUGUAAACCUCUUUCAGUACCGACGAAGCUUCGGUGACGGUAGGUACAGAAGAAGCACCGGCUAACUACGUGCCAGCAGCCGCGGUAAUACGUAGGGUGCGAGCGUUGUCCGGAAUUACUGGGCGUAAAGAGCUCGUAGGCGGUUUGUCGCGUCGUUCGUGAAAAUUCACAGCUUAACUGUGGACGUGCGGGCGAUACGGGCAGACUUGAGUGCUCCAGGGGAGACUGGAAUUCCUGGUGUAGCGGUGAAAUGCGCAGAUAUCAGGAGGAACACCGGUGGCGAAGGCGGGUCUCUGGGGAGUAACUGACGCUGAGGAGCGAAAGCGUGGGUAGCGAACAGGAUUAGAUACCCUGGUAGUCCACGCCGUAAACGGUGGGUACUAGGUGUGGGUUCCUUUUCACGGGAUCCGUGCCGUAGCUAACGCAUUAAGUACCCCGCCUGGGGAGUACGGCCGCAAGGCUAAAACUCAAAGGAAUUGACGGGGGCCCGCACAAGCGGCGGAGCAUGUGGAUUAAUUCGAUGCAACGCGAAGAACCUUACCUGGGUUUGACAUACAUCAGACGCAGUCAGAGAUGGCUGUUCCCUUGUGGUUGGUGUACAGGUGGUGCAUGGCUGUCGUCAGCUCGUGUCGUGAGAUGUUGGGUUAAGUCCCGCAACGAGCGCAACCCUUGUCCUGUAUUGCCAGCGGGUUAUGCCGGGGACUUGCAGGAGACUGCCGGGGUCAACUCGGAGGAAGGUGGGGAUGACGUCAAGUCAUCAUGCCCCUUAUGUCCAGGGCUUCACACAUGCUACAAUGGCCGGUACAGAGUGCUGCGAUACCGUGAGGUGGAGCGAAUCACUUAAAGCCGGUCUCAGUUCGGAUUGGGGUCUGCAACUCGACCCCAUGAAGUCGGAGUCGCUAGUAAUCGCAGAUCAGCAACGCUGCGGUGAAUACGUUCCCGGGCCUUGUACACACCGCCCGUCACGUCAUGAAAGUCGGUAACACCCGAAGCCGGUGGCCUAACCCGUAAGGGGGGGAGCUGUCGAAGGUGGGAUCGGCGAUUGGGACGAAGUCGUAACAAGGUAGCCGUA